This 777-nucleotide long non-coding RNA is filed under the name Heterocephalus glaber (naked mole-rat). Its description in RNAcentral is "lncRNA (ENSHGLG00100045826.1)". Lineage: Eukaryota; Metazoa; Chordata; Mammalia; Rodentia; Bathyergidae. The record is from RNAcentral.
CUUGGAUCUCAUUUAUGUGAAACAUCAAGAAUAAGCAGGGCUGGGGAUUUAGCUCAGUGGUUCUGGCGCCUGCCUUGAAAGUGCAAGGUCCCGAGUUCAAUCCCUGGUACUUAAAAAAAAUUAAAAAAAAAAAGAAUAAGCAAAUAAUGUACCAACAGAAGGCAAGUUAAUGGUUGCCAGAGUAUAGCAGGGAGGGAGAAAUGAAGAAUGAUUGCUUAACAGGUAUGUGAUUUUCUUUUGAUGAAAAUAUUCUGCAACUAGACAAUGGCAUUGAAUGCACAAUGCCGUGAAUGUCCUAUGUGUCACUAAGGCUGAAGAAAAUCUAGGGUUCAUCCUAGAAAAGGAACCACUUCUGAACCAAGCCACCUUGGACAGGGAUACAUUCAAGGUCAGCAUGAUGAAUAGGCAGAGAAAGAGGUCAAACAGCCCUCUCAAGCCAGAAGAGUUGGUCAACGGCCUUGUUCAAAGAGAAUUUCUCCACUUUGGGGGUGCUGAAGGGAGGAGGGAAGAUUUGGAAUGCAACAGGAGGUCAUUACAACAGAACCAAAUCCAACAUCAACUGGUGCCCUUAUAAGAAAUUAGGACAAAAUACACAGAGAGGGAAAGCAAUGUGAGGACACAGGAAGACAUGCCUAUAAGCCAAAGAGAGAGGCCUUGGAAGAAACCAACCCUGCUGACAUCUUCGUCUCAGACUUUUGGCCUCCAGAACUGUGAGGAAAUAAAUCCUGUUGUGUAAGCCACUCAAUCUGUGUUGGCAGCCCUCGAAAACAAAUACAG